CCACGCCCCCAUCUUUUCCGCCUUCGAAUCCUUUUCUUCAACCUCCCACCAAAUAUCCAAUCUGCGGCGGCGGCGCCAAGCUUAUCCCAUCCGUCGCCCGGCCACUCCCACAUCCUAUGCAGCAGCAGCCUCGCCCCGAGCGAUGCCCUCCACCGGCUGCUUCUUCUCUCCUCAAUCGGCGACCUCAGCAGUCAGAUCCCGGCCGGCAUCCGUUGUCCUCCCCAUCACCGCUCCGCCCUCUACAGACGUCGUCCUUGCCGUCGCCAAGCUGGAUCCACGCCGACGUCAACUUCCAGCCAAAACUCCUCCACGCUCCCUCCAAUCCCAUCCCGUCCACAAGUUAUACCAUUAAAUCAACAAGAUCAUUCUUUUGGGAGGAAAGGAGCGAAUACAUUAAUCUGGUUUUCUGGACACUUCAAGCAGUUUGGUCCUUGUUUCAGCUAGCAAAAACAUGGAUGGUACCAUAUUAACGAUGGAAUGUUCUAGUGUAUGCAGGGCAAGAUGGAAAGGUGUGACAGAUUUUAGCGAAAUUUUGAGUUUAAAUCUUGUCGAAAUUAGGCACGUAAAUAUAAUUGCAUAGGCCAAUGAAAAUUGGUAUUGCCAGUGAAGGGUCCGCUGCAAUUCUUAUUCAACAUCUCAGCUGUCCAGCAAAGAAAUCAAGAUUUGGACCAAUUGCAUAUUCCGACAUGGGACAACUAAUGAAUUGUUUCUUGCCGAAACAUGGGCAACCAAUCACAUAUUUGGAGGUCAAAAGAGCUAUGGGAAGCUAUUUUUUUUCAAGCAACUUAGCAGAAUAAGUGAGGACGCAGAGGAGAAAUGAGCAGAAGAAGGAUGCACAAAUAAAUCAGUUCCUGCCUGCAGCUUAUGGAAAGACUCCAGCUACUUAGCGAAUAGGAUAUUUUUCUUGAUAUGUGUGCAACUUUUUGUCCACGGAUGUGUAGUUCAGUUCUGAAAUGUUAACCCCACAAGAUAUAAAUAUAAA
Molecule: long non-coding RNA, 982 nt
Organism: Triticum aestivum (bread wheat)
Lineage: Eukaryota; Viridiplantae; Streptophyta; Magnoliopsida; Poales; Poaceae
Exons: 5
Source: RefSeq, a predicted model, not a curated record